UGAGAAGUUUGAAUAAAAUUCCCCAUUCUCCCCACUCUCUAUCUCUCUUUCUCUCUCUAGCUCGUCUCCCUCUUCUCUAUCUCUUCUUCUUCUUCUUCUUCCUCCUCAUCCCAAUUCCUUCUCAUCGCAAGCUCAGAUCUAUUCUCAAUCGAAGCUCUCGAUCUCGCACAGCUGAUACCAGAUCAGUAUUCGAUUGAAUACAGUUUAUCAUCAUCUCCUAUCCACGAUCCUCGGUUUCAUCCUCAUUAGAUCGAGGCA
This 258-nucleotide long non-coding RNA is filed under the name Ananas comosus (pineapple). RNAcentral describes it as "long non-coding RNA (ACOM_LNC023829)". Lineage: Eukaryota; Viridiplantae; Streptophyta; Magnoliopsida; Poales; Bromeliaceae. The record is from RNAcentral.